Molecule: ribosomal RNA, 253 nt
Filed under: uncultured bacterium
Lineage: Bacteria
Description: partial 16S ribosomal RNA
Rfam family: Bacterial small subunit ribosomal RNA
Source: RNAcentral
UACGAAGGGGGCUAGCGUUACUCGGAUUGACUGGGCGUAAAGGGCGCGUUGGCGGAUGGUACAGUCAGACGUGAAAUUCCUGGGCUCAACCUGGGGGCUGCGUUUGAUACGUGCUGUCUGGAGUUCGGAAGAGGGUCGUGGAAUUCCCAGUGUAGAGGUGAAGUUCGUAGAUAUUGGGAAGAACACCGGUGGCGAAGGCGGCGACCUGGUCCGAUACUGACGCUGAGGCGCGAAAGCGUGGGGAGCAAACAGG